Molecule: ribosomal RNA, 377 nt
Filed under: Trichophyton soudanense
Lineage: Eukaryota; Fungi; Ascomycota; Eurotiomycetes; Onygenales; Arthrodermataceae
Description: SSU rRNA
Rfam family: Eukaryotic small subunit ribosomal RNA
Source: RNAcentral
AUUAAAGUUGUUGCAGUUAAAAAGCUCGUAGUUGAACCUUGGGCCUGGCUGGCCGGUCCGCCUCACGGCGUGCACUGGUCCGGCUGGGCCUUUCCUCCUGGGGAACCCCAUGGCCUUCACUGGCCGUGGGCGGAACCAGGGCUUUUACUGUGAAAAAAUUAGAGUGUUCAAAGCAGGCCUUUGCUCGGAUACAUUAGCAUGGAAUAAUAGAAUAGGACGUGUGGUUCUAUUUUGUUGGUUUCUAGGACCGCCGUAAUGAUUAAUAGGGAUAGUCGGGGGCGUCAGUAUUCGGCUGUCAGAGGUGAAAUUCUUGGAUUUGCCGAAGACUAACUACUGCGAAAGCAUUCGCCAAGGAUGUUUUCAUUAAUCAGUGAACG